This 4383-nucleotide long non-coding RNA is filed under the name Setaria italica (foxtail millet). Its description in RNAcentral is "long non-coding RNA (SITA_LNC006210)". Lineage: Eukaryota; Viridiplantae; Streptophyta; Magnoliopsida; Poales; Poaceae. The record is from RNAcentral.
ACUUACUGGCGAUGUGUAAUUCAUAUGAUUCAAAAUUAUAAUGUUAACAAAUUGGUGAAUGAUCUCUAACGUUUUCUGUGGUGAUGUAACUCUUGUGCUUUACUGGUAAGAUUUCACAAUGUGUCACAUUGAUAUUGGGGUGUUCACCUGUUUAUAUGUUUAUAUUAUGCCCCUUAAAAGAAAUGUUCAUGUUGCAGUCCUUAGCAAAUGACUGGGUCUGCGAGUAAACAUGUUAUGUCAUUCACAUUGGAAUGCAUUUUUUUGCUUAUCCUUUCCAUAUUUUUAAAUAAUUCCAUUAGUAAUGUUCUUGUAUAGCACAAUCUUCAAGAUUUCGAUGUGUCAGAAUGAAUUUUAUAGGGAAGUGCCUACUAAUGCGCAACCGCCCCAUUCUAGAUGCAAUGUUUUCUAUUGGCCUGAUUUUGUGUCCUUUCCUGCAGGGUAUAGCGAAGUAAAAAAAAACCUCAAUUACUGUGUGUUAGUAUUUGCAUUGCAUUUAAGGAUUUGAAUGAAAUUUCUGAUGAUCACAUUAUACCCAGGGGUGCUUACAGUCUAACAGCAACUUUUCGGUACAGAGGCUCCAGUCCCGAUGUUUUGGAUGCAGUGACCCAGUGUUUUGAAUGCAGUGAUGAUACACAUGGCUGCUGAAAUUGCGGUGAGAAUAGGAUAGUGGUAGAAGGGUGAGAGCUUUGCUUUAAGUGCACAGGUGAACUGAAGUUGCUCCUGUCUAGAAUCAGAUUAAACUUCCUUGCUUGCUUUCCAUUAAUUGUUUUGCGUAUUCAUAUUUUUAAUGGUAGUUAAGUCCACCAUUGUGACUUAUGUCAGUGGCCCAGUCCUCGUUGAUGGACAAAUAAAAAUAGUACUAACAAUCCUAAAAAAAUAUGUAUCAAGAGAUUACUGCAGUAACUGCUUAUGGAACCAAGGAUGCCUCAGCAUUGUUUGAAUAAUACAUUUUCAAGCAUAGCAAUGGGCAUUGCUUGCAUGGAGGCAGUAUAUAAUUUGAAGAGUCAAAUUUGCAAGUUUUGACCAACACUUAGUCAAAUUAUUAUAUGCAUGUUUAGUGUUAAAUGAUACAUCCAUAGUUUAGACUAGUUUUGCUAUGAUAGUGUCUGUAAAAAAAAUCAGAAUAUUAUCUUUAUAGCUUUGUACACAUUUUAGAGUAUUUUAUGUUGAAAAUCAGUCAGUCUUUCUUGUGUGACCUGUCCCAAUUGCUUCACAAUUGUAAUAAUUCAUAAAUAUAACUGUCAGCCUGUCUGGCUAUUGCUUAAUACUAAACUACAUCAUAUUGGUGAUGCUAUGUUAUGUAGCUGUUGCUCCCACAUAUACUCACAUAAUCUCCUCUAUUUUUUGUGGCUCUCAUAUUUAAUGUCAUGCAGUCAGGGGUUGUGAUAUCGAUUUGUUGUGCAUAAUAGUUAAGGCUAUGUGAUUUGAUUGUGUUAAAGAAACAGUUGCCAUUCUAUUUGACAUUGUGUCAUAUUUUGUGUUGUAAAUGGUUGUUAUGCUUGUAAGUUGCCUGCCUAUUUGAUUUGGCUCUGUUUUUGGAGUGGUGUUUUGUGCUUGCCAACACCCCUGAUGAGCUUGCAUAUGUUUCUUUGCGAUAGUCUCAGUGCCUCAAAGGCUGCAUUACUCUGUCAGAAUCCGUUUCUAACUUGAUGGUCAUUCUGGUCCUUAGUUGUUCACACAGAACUGUGGAAUCUCGAUAAUUCAGCCAUUAGGAUGUCACAUGAGGCUGUCAUAAUCUGCAUUGUGUGUGUUUAUUUUCUCUCCUUCGUGUAAGAUUGCGUAUAAUGCGUGCAUUGUAUUGCUUGAGCCCCAUGGGCUGAGUAUAUAGGAGAUAAGGAAGGUUAUCCUGGGAUUACAAUUAAUCCUAAACUAACCAUAUCCGGGGUUGCCUAAUAUACUCUUAGCACUUUGGGUUUUAUUAUUUGGCAUGUUGUAUAUAUGAGUAUCUUUUGGCCAUGUAGGCUCGGCAGAAUUGCGGUAGCUACUAGCUAGUAGCUUGCUGUGCAUUACAUGUGCUGACUUAUGUAUGUGAAUUUUGCUUGGUUAAAUUUCUAUCUUUGUGCAUAUACUAUUUUAUACUCGAGCCUCUGCGCUGAUCUGUGACAUGAAGAAAAUUAUACCAAAUUUAUGAUUAUAUUGCUAGGAAAUUUCUUUUACUUAUAGUUAGCACCUUUCCGGUAUUCAUGUUUUUAUUUUGUUGUUUAUUCUGCAGUUUUGCUAUGCCGUGUGGACCUGUACCGAGGGCAGGUGAAGUGGGAGGAGCAGAGCGAGAAGUUGUUAUGAUCAAGAUACAGCUCUUGUUCAGUGUUCUUGAUAUUGGUACCCAUAAGUAGGCACAAAUGUUUAUUACCUUUAGAUUUGUAUAUGUAUUCUUUUCUAAUCUUGUGAAUUUGUUUUCAAUUUUUUGUCAUUUAGAUGGUCAAAGUUACUGCAACUAUAUUGUCAAAUUGAUCUCUCAUGGGGUGAAAAUAUCACUUUUUUAUAGUCUUUGUUCCUGACAUGUGGUGUCAAUAUUCCCAUUAAGUUUCAUUUGUUUUUUCAUCAAUAUUCUAAUUAAAUUCCUGUUAAGUGGAACAGGCUAAAAAUUGUAUUUUCUAUGUGUUUUUUCUUUGUGUUAGGAAUCUGAAACUUUUUUCUCGAGAAAUCACAUGUAUUUUCAUUUGUUGUCUAUUAGGCUUCCAUUUUCCCUAAUCUUCUGUGUUUUUAUCUACUGCCUGUCUGCAUUUGGCUCCGCUAUUUCUCUGUGCUGAAUAUUUGGUCCAUGCCUACAUGCAGCAGAGAGUGUUUAGAUCUCGUUGAGAAGCCACCAGCAGCUCUAAUUAUCAUUUUUUAUGUGCAGGCCAACGAUAGCUGCAACAGUUUUUUUGUGUUGUGCAGAUAGACAACUACAGCCUAGGGUUCAAGCUGGUCUGCUCAAUUUCGUUUUAAAUUUGUGCAGUGUCUCAGUACCUUAAUCAUUAUUCUGUGCACUUAAUCUAUCUUUGUUCUAUUAGUGAUCGUUUGCAUCCAUGUGUUUCUCCUUACAGUAGUAGCAUAGCAGCACUUAGUUAACUCCUUUUGCUUGGUUUGAUGUGCUAGCUUUGUCAUUUUUUGUAGUCUUGCCUUAGCCAAUUUUUUUUUGAGUAUUUCAGGUUUUCGCUAUGUAGGAUCAAAUGUGGGUUCUAUUUGAUAAUUAAAUCAGAUUAUGGAAAAUGAUUCAAGUUGUUUCUGUUCUAGUGUGCCAUUAUGGGGAAUCAGAUUGUGGGUUCAAUCAUCAAGUUAAAUUUUAGAUUUUGUGGAAGUCUAACUUUCCAACUCGAUAGUUGUCUCCUUGAGCUCUAAGACGUUAUCAAGAUUGCGAAAGGUAUUGCCUAUGUGUUUUUUCUUUGUGUUGAAAUCUGUAAAAGUUACAGGAUUUUUUUAGCUGUUCCAAGUGUUCAACUGAUAUUCAGGAGAUAUCAACUGACAAUUAGGGUAGAAAAACAAUGGCUGCUCACCCUAACUUUUGAAAUCUGAAUUCCUGGAUAUUUCAUUCCUUAUGAUAAGUGAUACGUAACUCAUAUUUACUUGGAUGGUCACCACUGUGACUGGUUCAGUUUUAUGGUUGAGCGUUGAAGUAAAGAUUUUACAUGUCUCACCUGUUGGCUCUUUUUUCCAGAACAAAUGGAAGAAUAUGCAAUGUAAUUGUUUUCAUAUCUCAAACUGCCAUUUCCCUUGUUAUUUGAAUACCUGUUUCAGACCUAUUAACUGACCACUGUUUGUCAUAUCAAAAUCUGCAUUUAAAGUUUAGGUUGUGUCUGAAUCAGUCUGUUUUACCACCACAUUAUGAGGGCAAUCACUGAUUAGUUUUCAAAAUUAUUUAUAGUUGAAGCUUCUCUGUUUCUCUCUUUCAUGUCCUUGUCACCUAAUCAACAAGGCUGCAUUCUAAUUUCGAGAUCAAUUUCUCUGAGAGAUAGAAAUGUGGUGUGGUUGCCACCCUCAUGGUAAUAUUAUAGGGCUACUGAAUUGCCCACUGAUAUGCGUUUUUAUCUCCAUUUUGCAGUUUCUACAUUUUUCUGCCUUCAGCAAUUACUGACCAUGCUGUUUCUUUUUGCUUAAUUUUUGGAUGCGUAUUUACUCUAACAAAUCCCUUGACUUUCUCAAGGUUUAACAUGCAUCUUUGAGGCAAAGUUUUAUUCUGCCUAAUUUAUUCAUGUAUUCAACAUACUUGGAGAUACAUGAUGUUGAAGGAAAAAAAAGGGGGGGCAGGUUUUAGCUUCGUAUUGACAUUUAGUGUUAGGUUCGGCUAGUCAUGUGUGCCCUUCCAGAUUGCUUGUGCUUACUAGCUACUAAAUCUAUUUGUCAGGUGUGACCUUCCAUGAAAUUUUUCAUCAUUGUAAUUAUUCACUGUCAAUAUAAUAUAUU